UGGGGAAUUUUGCACAAUGGAGGAAACUCUGAUGCAGCGACGCCGCGUGAGUGAUGAAGAUCUUCGGAUUGUAAAACUCUGUCCUUAGUGAAGAUAAUGACAGUAACUAAGAAGCAAGCCCUGGCUAAAUACGUGCCAGCAGCCGCGGUAAUACGUAUGGGGCAAGCGUUGUCCGGAAUUAUUGGGCGUAAAGGGUACGUAGGCGGUUUAAUAAGUCCUAAUUAAAAGGCUAUGGCUCAACCAUAGUAUGGUUAGGAAACUGUUGAACUUGGGUAGAUGAGGGGAAAGUGGAAUUCCAUGUGUAGCGGUGAAAUGCGUAGAUAUAUGGAGGAACACCAAUGGCGAAGGCAACUUUCUGGAAUCAAACUGACGCUGGGGUACGAAGGCGUGGGGGGCAAACAGG
This 403-nucleotide ribosomal RNA is filed under the name Fusobacteriota bacterium. RNAcentral's name for it is "Fusobacteria bacterium partial 16S ribosomal RNA". It matches the Rfam family "Bacterial small subunit ribosomal RNA", at positions 355 to 776 of the family's 1533-position model. The record is from RNAcentral. Lineage: Bacteria; Fusobacteriati; Fusobacteriota.